This 492-nucleotide ribosomal RNA is filed under the name Blastocystis sp. RNAcentral's name for it is "SSU rRNA". It matches the Rfam family "Eukaryotic small subunit ribosomal RNA", at positions 460 to 953 of the family's 1831-position model. Lineage: Eukaryota; Bigyra; Opalinata; Blastocystidae. The record is from RNAcentral.
GGAGGUAGUGACAAUAAAUCUCAAUACGAAGCCUUUGGUUUUGUAAUUGAAUUGAGAACAAUGUACAAUCGUUAUCGAUAAACAAUUGGAGGGCAAGUCUGGUGCCAGCAGCCGCGGUAAUUCCAGCUCCAAUAGCGUAUAUUAACGUUGUUGCAGUUAAAAAGCUCGUAGUUGAAGUUUAGAUAAUUUAUUGAAAGUGUUUGUAUUCGUACAUUCUACUUUUAUGUAAGUUAUCGACAUCCAGGUGGGUAUCAUAAUCUCGCAAGGGGUCGUGAUACUAGACUGGUCAUUUACUGUGAGAAAAUUAGAGUGUUUAAAGCAGACUUUUAUUCAGUUUGAAUAGAUUAGCAUGGAAUAAUAAGAUUGGCUUUCAUAGUCGAUUUUUUGGUUUGUUUAUGAAAGCAAGAUUAAUAGGGACAGUUGGGGGUAUUCAUAUUCAAUAGCUAGAGGUGAAAUUCUAUGAUUUAUGGAAGAUGAACAAGUGCGAAAGCA